AGUGAACGCUGGCGGUAGGCCUAACACAUGCAAGUCGAACGGCAGCACAGUAAGAGCUUGCUCUUACGGGUGGCGAGUGGCGGACGGGUGAGGAAUACAUCGGAAUCUACUUUUUCGUGGGGGAUAACGUAGGGAAACUUACGCUAAUACCGCAUACGACCUACGGGUGAAAGCCGGGGAUCUUCGGACCUUGCGCGAUUGAGUGAGCCGAUGUCGGAUUAGCUAGUUGGCGGGGUAAAGGCCCACCAAGGCGACGAUCCGUAGCUGGUCUGAGAGGAUGAUCAGCCACACUGGAACUGAGACACGGUCCAGACUCCUACGGGAGGCAGCAGUGGGGAAUAUUGGACAAUGGGCGCAAGCCUGAUCCAGCCAUACCGCGUGGGUGAAGAAGGCCUUCGGGUUGUAAAGCCCUUUUGUUGGGAAAGAAAAGCAGCAGGUUAAUACCCCGCUGUUCUGACGGUACCCAAAGAAUAAGCACCGGCUAACUUCGUG
RNAcentral lists this ribosomal RNA (492 nucleotides) under uncultured bacterium. RNAcentral describes it as "partial 16S ribosomal RNA". It matches the Rfam family "Bacterial small subunit ribosomal RNA", at positions 29 to 507 of the family's 1533-position model. The record is from RNAcentral.